GACGAACGCUGGCGGCGUGCUUAACACAUGCCAGUCGAACGGAAAGGCCCUGCUUUUGUGGGGUGCUCGAGUGGCGAACGGGUGAGUAACACGUGAGUAACCUGCCCUUGACUUUGGGAUAACUUCAGGAAACUGGGGCUAAUACCGGAUAGGAGCUCCUGCUGCAUGGUGGGGGUUGGAAAGUUUCGGCGGUUGGGGAUGGACUCGCGGCUUAUCAGCUUGUUGGUGGGGUAGUGGCUUACCAAGGCUUUGACGGGUAGCCGGCCUGGGAGGGUGACCGGCCACAUUGGGCCUGAGAUACGGACCAGACUCCUACGGGAGGCAGCAGUGGGGAAUAUUGCACAAUGGGCGGAAGCCUGAUGCAGCAACGCCGCGUGCGGGAUGACGGCCUUCGGGUUGUAAACCGCUUUCGCCUGUGACGAAGCGUGAGUGACGGUAAUGGGUAAAGAAGCACCGGCUAACUACGUG
Molecule: ribosomal RNA, 468 nt
Filed under: uncultured bacterium
Lineage: Bacteria
Description: partial 16S ribosomal RNA
Rfam family: Bacterial small subunit ribosomal RNA
Source: RNAcentral